Molecule: non-coding RNA, 28 nt
Filed under: Homo sapiens (human)
Lineage: Eukaryota; Metazoa; Chordata; Mammalia; Primates; Hominidae
Source: RNAcentral
UCUGAGCACAAAGUCCUGGGAUCCCUUA